Molecule: transfer RNA, 71 nt
Filed under: Candidatus Niyogibacteria bacterium CG10_big_fil_rev_8_21_14_0_10_42_19
Lineage: Bacteria; Candidatus Niyogiibacteriota
Description: tRNA-Gly
Rfam family: tRNA
About the family: Transfer RNA (tRNA) molecules are approximately 80 nucleotides in length. Their secondary structure includes four short double-helical elements and three loops (D, anti-codon, and T loops).
Source: RNAcentral
GCGGGAUUGGUUUAAUGGCAGGACGACUCCCUUCCAAGGAGUAAGCACCGGUUCGAUUCCGGUAUCCCGCA